RNAcentral lists this transfer RNA (87 nucleotides) under Polyangiaceae bacterium. RNAcentral's name for it is "tRNA-Ser". It matches the Rfam family "tRNA". Rfam says of the family: Transfer RNA (tRNA) molecules are approximately 80 nucleotides in length. Their secondary structure includes four short double-helical elements and three loops (D, anti-codon, and T loops). Lineage: Bacteria; Pseudomonadati; Myxococcota; Polyangiales; Polyangiaceae. The record is from RNAcentral.
GGAGAGGUGGCCGAGUGGCCGAAGGCACAUCCUUGCUAAGGAUGCGUAUGGGAAACUGUACCGUGGGUUCGAAUCCCACCCUCUCCG